AUUAAGUUCAUUAACAUGCUUAGUCGUAAUAUAUGUGUACAAUAACCUUCGGCCAUCUAUGGUAUUGUUCAUUCUACCUGAACUAAGAACGGUUUAGUGAAUCAAUGAACACUUUAUUGCAGAAAGCUUUGACUAUGCUAUACAUGUACAGCAAAGGAGGUUGCACCCUCAAUCUCUUUGGCUAUAGCAAAGAACAAAUAUUUACAACAUGACAAAUGAUAAUCAGCAGAAAGCAAUACAUUACAUGCACAAUAAGAGUAACAUGCAACAUUAACUGAACA
This 281-nucleotide long non-coding RNA is filed under the name Mytilus galloprovincialis (Mediterranean mussel). The record is from RNAcentral. Lineage: Eukaryota; Metazoa; Mollusca; Bivalvia; Mytilida; Mytilidae.